GAUGAACGCUGGCGGCGUGCUUAACACAUGCAAGUCGAACGGAAAGGCCCAACCUUGGUGGGGUGCUCGAGUGGCGAACGGGUGAGUAACACGUGGGUGAUCUGCCCUGGACUUCGGGAUAAGCCUGGGAAACUGGGUCUAAUACCGGAUAGGACCACAUCCUGGAUGGUGGGGUGGGAAGUGUUUCGGUGUGGGGUGAGCUCGCGGCCGAUCAGCAUGUUGGUGGGGUGGUGGCCUACUAAGGCGUCGACGGGUAGCCGGCCUGGGAGGGUGACCGGCCACAUUGGGACUGAGAUACGGCCCAGCCUCCUACGGGAGGCAGCAGUGGGGAAUAUUGCACAAUGGGCGGAAGCCUGAUGCAGCGACGCCGCGUGGGGGAUGACGGCCUUCGGGUUGUAAACCCCUUUCGCCUGGGACGAAGCGCAAGUGACGGUACCGGGUGAAGAAGCACCGGCUAACUACGUG
Molecule: ribosomal RNA, 465 nt
Filed under: uncultured bacterium
Lineage: Bacteria
Description: partial 16S ribosomal RNA
Rfam family: Bacterial small subunit ribosomal RNA
Source: RNAcentral